This 71-nucleotide transfer RNA is filed under the name Capra hircus (goat). It matches the Rfam family "tRNA". From Rfam's summary of the family: Transfer RNA (tRNA) molecules are approximately 80 nucleotides in length. Their secondary structure includes four short double-helical elements and three loops (D, anti-codon, and T loops). RNAcentral also lists the same sequence under 1 other name. Lineage: Eukaryota; Metazoa; Chordata; Mammalia; Artiodactyla; Bovidae. The record is from Rfam by way of RNAcentral.
UCCCUGAUGGCUCAGUGAUAAAGAAUCUGCCUGCAAUGCAGGAGACAUGGGUUCGAUCCCUGGUCAGGAAG